Lactuca sativa (garden lettuce) is the source of this 1050-nucleotide long non-coding RNA. RefSeq lists it as uncharacterized. The record is from RefSeq and is a predicted model, not a curated record. Lineage: Eukaryota; Viridiplantae; Streptophyta; Magnoliopsida; Asterales; Asteraceae.
AAUUUUAUGUCGGUACUAAUUUUCAUUUGCUUAACAUGAUAGGUUUUGGUUAAAUAUCCUUGGCCUUAACGUUUCUUAGAUACGAUAUUGAAACCCUAACUCCAACUUCUGCUGAUUGCAACGCAAAAUCACCAUCCGCUCUUCGUCGAAGCCGGAACAUCACGCCGUCGUCGGCCAACGUUACUGCUUGCAUCGUCUUCGUUGUUGUCGUUGUUGCUGAGGAUACAUCGUAAUCGAUGUCGAUGUCUCUUCCCCUAGAGGUAUUCAUUGUUCCGGAUUAUCUGUUGAUCAGAGGCUCCCUGUUUUUGUGGUGCAUACCAUGCAACAAAGCCAUGUUAUUUGAUGACAUGGAAUCUGUUUGAUUAUAGCAGUGUUGCAGUUAGCACAAAUACCCAAUAUUAAGGUGAUAGAUUGUUAAAUCCCAUAGGCGUUUGAUCCUAUGAAUGGAUAUAGUAUGCUAGGAUUUGGCGAUAUAAAUUCUUUCCAGACCUGUUUCUCUCAUUUAGUGUUAGGGGGGGAGACAAGGACAAGUGGACAACAAUGUAUUUUCUAAAAUGAAAUUCGUGCUUUUAAGUGAGAAGAAUGUUACCUGUGAAACCAUACCCACUCUUACACAAACAAUUCAUAUUUUUCAUGUUUAACCCUAUUAUUGAUGCAAAGUGGGCUUGAUUUUAUUCCAUCAAUUGUCUAUGGAAAGAAAAUUUGGAGUCAAGAUUUUGCAUGGGUGCAUUGUGUGAUGUUGACUAUAGAGUUUACCUUGAGCUUCUUGCUGAUUUGUCAUGGUAAACAACAAAUGAAGAAGUUGAAUUACACUUCAAAGCUGUAAAAGAUAGGCUUGAUAGUCACCAUCAUGGCUUAAAAAGUCAAAUAAAAGAUUAUUGAAUAUGUAACAGUUUGCAAGGUUGGAUAAACUUGUAUUUUUUUUUCUUAUAGGUAGUGUUUGUUUGUUAUCAUGGAAUCGUGAAAUGAAUGUAAUGGUUUAUUCCAUCGGAAUGAACAGAAAAAUAAUGUUUUUUUCAUUGGAUGGAAUGAAAAUUUUAUUAUUUUCUA